RNAcentral lists this ribosomal RNA (156 nucleotides) under Malbranchea conjugata. RNAcentral's name for it is "Auxarthron conjugatum 5.8S ribosomal RNA". It matches the Rfam family "5.8S ribosomal RNA". Rfam says of the family: 5.8S ribosomal RNA (5.8S rRNA) is a component of the large subunit of the eukaryotic ribosome. It is transcribed by RNA polymerase I as part of the 45S precursor that also contains 18S and 28S rRNA. Lineage: Eukaryota; Fungi; Ascomycota; Eurotiomycetes; Onygenales; Malbrancheaceae. The record is from RNAcentral.
AACUUUCAACAAUGGAUCUCUUGGUUCCGGCAUCGAUGAAGAACGCAGCGAAAUGCGAUAAGUAAUGUGAAUUGCAGAAUUCCGUGAAUCAUCGAAUCUUUGAACGCACAUUGCGCCCCCUGGUAUUCCGGGGGGCAUGCCUGUCCGAGCGUCAUU